RNAcentral lists this ribosomal RNA (334 nucleotides) under uncultured Pseudomonadota bacterium. RNAcentral's name for it is "bacterial SSU rRNA". It matches the Rfam family "Bacterial small subunit ribosomal RNA", at positions 29 to 351 of the family's 1533-position model. The record is from RNAcentral. Lineage: Bacteria; Pseudomonadati; Pseudomonadota.
AAUGAACGCUGGCGGCGUGCCUAACACAUGCAAGUCGAACGAGAAAGGGGGAUUCGUCCCCCGAGUAGAGUGGCGCACGGGUGAGUAACGCGUGGGUGACCUGCCCUGGAAUUUGGGAUAACACUGCGAAAGUGGUGCUAAUACCGGAUACGAUCCUUCAGUGAUGGAGGGUGAAAGUCGGCCUCUCGAAGAAGCUGAUGUUCUGGGAUGGGCUCGCGUCCUAUCAGCUAGUUGGUAGGGUAAUGGCCUACCAAGGCUGUGAUGGGUAGCCGGCCUGAGAGGGUGAACGGCCACACUGGAACUGAGACACGGUCCAGACUCCUACGGGUGGCUG